UCAGUGUCAGUAUCAGUCCAGGUGGUCGCCUUCGCCACUGGUGUUCCUUCCUAUAUCUACGCAUUUCACCGCUACACAGGAAAUUCCACCACCCUCUACCAUACUCUAGCUUGUCAGUUUUGAAUGCAGUUCCCAGGUUGAGCCCGGGGAUUUCACAUCCAACUUAACAAACCACCUACGCGCGCUUUACGCCCAGUAAUUCCGAUUAACGCUUGCACCCUCUGUAUUACCGCGGCUGCUGGCACAGAGUUAGCCGGUGCUUAUUCUGUCGGUAACGUCAAAACAGCAAAGUAUUAAUUUACUGCCCUUCCUCCCAACUUAAAGUGCUUUACAAUCCGAAGACCUUCUUCACACACGCGGCAUGGCUGGAUCAGGCUUUCGCCCAUUGUCCAAUAUUCCCCACUGCUGCCUCCCGUAGGAGUCUGGACCGUGUCUCAGUUCCAGUGUGACUGAUCAUCCUCUCAGACCAGUUACGGAUCGUCGCCUUGGUGAGCCAUUACCUCACCAACUAGCUAAUCCGACCUAGGCUCAUCUGAUAGCGCAAGGCCCGAAGGUCCCCUGCUUUCUCCCGUAGGACGUAUGCGGUAUUAGCGUCCCUUUCGAGACGUUGUCCCCCACUACCAGGCAGAUUCCUAGGCAUUACUCACCCGUCCGCCGCUGAAUCAGAGAGCAAGCUCUCAUCAUCCGCUCGACUUGCAUGUGUUAGGCCUGCCGCCAGCGUUCAAU
RNAcentral lists this ribosomal RNA (726 nucleotides) under Pseudomonas umsongensis. Its description in RNAcentral is "partial 16S rRNA". Lineage: Bacteria; Pseudomonadati; Pseudomonadota; Gammaproteobacteria; Pseudomonadales; Pseudomonadaceae. The record is from RNAcentral.